This 481-nucleotide ribosomal RNA is filed under the name uncultured bacterium. Its description in RNAcentral is "partial 16S ribosomal RNA". It matches the Rfam family "Bacterial small subunit ribosomal RNA", at positions 28 to 507 of the family's 1533-position model. The record is from RNAcentral.
GAUGAACGCUGGCGGCGUGCUUAACACAUGCAAGUCGAACGAAGCACUUUAUUUGAUUUCCUUCGGGACUGAUUAUUUUGUGACUGAGUGGCGGACGGGUGAGUAACGCGUGGGUAACCUGCCUUGUACAGGGGGAUACCAGUUGGAAACGGCUGCUACUGCGGCAUAGGGGCACGUGAACAGUUUCGGCGGUUGGAAAAACUCCGGUGGUAUAGAAUGGACCCGCGUGGGUUUGGGUAGUUGGUGAGGUAGCGGCCUACCAAGGCGACGAUCCAUAGCCGACCUGAGAGGGUGACCGGCCAGAUUGGGACUGAGACACGGACCAAACUCCGACGGGGAGCAGCAGUGGGGAAUAUUGCACAAUGGGCGAAAGCCUGAUGCAGCGACGCCGCGUGAGCGAAGAAGUAUUUCGGUAUGUAAAGCUCUAUCAGCAGGGAAGAUAAUGACGGUACCUGACUAAGAAGCACCGGCUAAAUACGUG